RNAcentral lists this unclassified non-coding RNA (599 nucleotides) under Hevea brasiliensis (rubber tree). Lineage: Eukaryota; Viridiplantae; Streptophyta; Magnoliopsida; Malpighiales; Euphorbiaceae. The record is from RNAcentral.
UGAGUAAGGCUUAGUGAUUUGGCAUGUAAUUCUCACGUGUGAGUGUACAUGUGCAAGUCUUCAUUCUUGUCUCACUUUUGUGCUCUCGCAUAAGUCUCAUUAAAUUUAUUUUGUUGUAUGGAGAGGAAGUGGGUAAAAAGUUACGAGAUGAAAUACAUAGAUUUUUAUUUUUGGUGCAAAUGGGAGAAAAUUGAAUUCCUCUCGCUUUUACUGUCCUCCUGUUCCACCAUUAUCAAACAGAGGCUGUGUUCAUUAACAUCCUGACCAGCUGCUGCCGAGCUUGAGACUGCUUAAUGUAUUUUUUCCCAGUUGUAUUUGUGUCUUAUCCGUUUUGUUGUGCUUCUGCUGUAUAUAUUUUCUUUUUAUUUGAAUGCUGAUGUAAUUCUUUGCGAAAUGCUUUGGUGUGUGAUUUCCAGAAACAUCAGUGUCCUUUUAGAUACACUUUUGCUGUGUAUUUUUAUAAUUUAAAGUCAUUAUUAACUAAUGAUGCCUUGAGAUAAGUUUUUCCUUAAAACUUUUGGACUGACUUCUGCUAUUGUACAUCAUCUUGCUAUAAGCUGCAGAAAUGGGCCGGAAGAUUCAGCAGAAUAAACAAGCUG